UGUUCAGCCACAUGUGGGCACAGGGGCAGUGAAGGUGACUCCGGCUCACAGUCCUGCCGAUGCUGAGAUGGGGGCCCGACAUGACUUGAGCCCCCUGAAUGUCAUUGCGGAGGAUGGGACCAUGACCUCCCUCUGUGGGGACUGGCUGCAGGGACUUCACCGGUUUGUGGCCCGGGAAAAGAUAAUGUCUGUGCUGAGUGAACGGGGCCUGUUCCGGGGCCUCCAGAACCACCCCAUGGUACUGCCCAUCUGCAGCCGUUCUGGGGACGUGAUAGAAUACCUGCUGAAGAGCCAGUGGUUUGUCCGCUGCCAGGAAAUGGGGGCCCGAGCUGCCAAGGCUGUGGAGUCGGGGGCCCUGGAGCUCAGUCCCUCCUUCCACCAGAAGAACUGGCAGCACUGGUUUUCCCAUAUUGGGGACUGGUGUGUCUCCCGGCAGCUGUGGUGGGGCCAUCAGAUUCCAGCCUACCUGGUUGUAGAGGACCACGCGCAGGGAGAAGAGGACUGUUGGGUGGUUGGGCGGUCAGAGGCUGAGGCCAGAGAGGUAGCAGCAGAACUGACAGGGAGGCCAGGGGCAGAGCUGACCCUGGAGAGGGACCACAGACCUUGCUCGUUUCUACCCCCUGUCACUUUUGGAAACGGGCAGCGACCUUCUGCUGUUCUGGGUGGGCCGCAUGGUCAUGUUGGGGACCCAGCUCACAGGGCAGCUGCCCUUCAGCAAGGUGCUUCUUCAUCCCAUGGUUCGGGACAGGCAGGGCCGGAAGAUGAGCAAGUCCCUGGGGAAUGUGCUGGACCCAAGAGACAUCAUCAGUGGGGUGGAGAUGCAGGUACUGCAGGAAAAGCUGAGAAGUGGAAAUUUGGACCCCGCAGAGCUGGCCAUUGUGGCUGCAGCACAGAAAAAGGACUUUCCUCAUGGGAUCCCUGAGUGUGGGACAGAUGCCCUGAGAUUCACACUCUGCUCCCAUGGAGUUCAGGUGGGCGACUUGCGCCUGUCCGUCUCUGAGGUCCAGAGCUGCCGACAUUUCUGCAACAAGAUCUGGAAUGCUCUGCGCUUUAUCCUCAAUGCUUUAGGGGAGAAAUUUGUGCCACAGCCUGCUGAGGAGCUGUCUCCCUCCUCCCCGAUGGAUGCCUGGAUCCUGAGCCGCCUUGCCCUGGCUGCCCGGGAGUGUGAGCGGGGCUUCCUCACCCGAGAACUCUCGCUCGUCACUCAUGCCCUGCACCACUUCUGGCUUCACAACCUCUGUGACGUCUACCUGGAGGCUGUGAAGCCCGUGCUGUGGCACUCGCCCCGCCCCCUGGGGCCCCCUCAGGUCCUGUUCUCCUGCGCUGACUUCGGCCUCCGCCUCCUGGCCCCACUGAUGCCCUUCCUGGCUGAAGAGCUCUGGCAGAGGCUGCCCCCCAGACCUGGUUGCCCCCCUGCCCCCAGCAUCUCGGUUGCCCCCUACCCCAGAGCCUGCAGCUUGGAGCACUGGCGCCAGCCAGAGCUGGAGCGGCGCUUCUCCCGGGUCCAAGAGGUCGUGCAGGUGCUAAGGGCUCUCCGAGCCACGUACCAGCUCACCAAAGCCCGGCCCCGAGUGCUGCUGCAGAGCUCAGAGCCUGGGGACCAGGGCCUCUUCGAGGCCUUCUUGGAGCCCCUGGGCACCCUGGGCUACUGUGGGGCUGUGGGCCUGUUACCCCCAGGCACAGCAGCUCCCUCUGGCUGGGCCCAGGCUCCACUCAGUGACACGGCUCAGGUCUACAUGGAGCUGCAGGGCCUAGUGGACCCGCAGAUCCAGCUACCUCUGUUAGCCGCCCGAAGGUAUAAGUUGCAGAAGCAGCUUGAUGGCCUCACAGCCAGGACCCCAUCAGAAGGGGAGGCAGGGACUCAGAGGCAACAAAGGCUUUCUUCCCUCCAGCUGGAAUUGUCAAAACUGGACAACGCAGCCUCUCACCUCCGGCAGCUGAUGGAUGAGCCUCCAGCCUCAGGGAGCCCGGAGCUCUAACUCAUCAUCCCCAUCAGUUUUCCUCCCUCUCAGACCUGUCUUUGAGGACAAACAGAUUUGUCAGCUGUCAGGGUGCAGUGGGACAUCAGAGACUAUGUGGUCCAUCGCCUUCAUUGUGUAAAUGAGGACACAGACUGGCUUGGUCGCAGUGACUGUGGUGUCCUUGAGAUGCUCAUAUUACUGCCUGGCCUGCCUCCCACCUGGAAGUCUGGGAAUGAGGAGAUUCAGAUAAACUUUUGAAAUCCCAAA
Molecule: small RNA, 2228 nt
Filed under: Pongo abelii (Sumatran orangutan)
Lineage: Eukaryota; Metazoa; Chordata; Mammalia; Primates; Hominidae
Description: processed transcript
Source: RNAcentral